Molecule: ribosomal RNA, 432 nt
Filed under: uncultured bacterium
Lineage: Bacteria
Description: partial 16S ribosomal RNA
Rfam family: Bacterial small subunit ribosomal RNA
Source: RNAcentral
AACGAACGCUGGCGGCAUGCCUAACACAUGCAAGUCGAACGAGACCUUCGGGUCUAGUGGCGCACGGGUGCGUAACGCGUGGGAACCUGCCCUUAGGUUCGGAAUAACUCCCCGAAAGGGGUGCUAAUACCGGAUAAUGUCUUCGGACCAAAGAUUUAUCGCCUUUGGAUGGGCCCGCAUUGGAUUAGCUAGUUGGUAGGGUAAAAGCCUACCAAGGCGACGAUCCAUAGCUGGUCUGAGAGGAUGAUCAGCCACACUGGGACUGAGACACGGCCCAGACCCCUAGGGGGGGAAGAAGGGGGGAAUAUUGGACAAGGGGGGAAAGCCUGAUUCAGCAAUGCCGGGUGAGUGAUGAAGGCCUUAGGGUUGUAAAGCUCUUUUACCCGGGAUGAUAAUGACAGUACCGGGAAAAAAAGCCCCGGCUAACCCCGG